CGUGGGGUGCAAGCGUUAAUCGGAAUUACUGGGCGUAAAGCGUGCGCAGGCGGUUUUGUAAGACUGUCGUGAAAUCCCCGGGCUCAACCUGGGAAUGGCGAUGGUGACUGCAAGGCUAGAGUUUGGCAGAGGGGGUAGAAUUCCACGUGUAGCAGUGAAAUGCGUAGAUAUGUGGAGGAACACCGAUGGCGAAGGCAGCCCCCUGGGUCAAAACUGACGCUCAUGCACGAAAGCGUGGGGAGCAAACAGGAUUAGAUACCCUGGUAGUCCACGCCCUAAACGAUGUCUACUAGUUGUCGGGUCUUAAUUGACUUGGUAACGCAGCUAACGCGUGAAGUAGACCGCCUGGGGAGUACGGUCGCAAGAUUA
RNAcentral lists this ribosomal RNA (369 nucleotides) under uncultured organism. RNAcentral describes it as "bacterial SSU rRNA". It matches the Rfam family "Bacterial small subunit ribosomal RNA", at positions 526 to 896 of the family's 1533-position model. The record is from RNAcentral.